AUGGUUGAGGGAACCAAUGAUAGUGAAGUCAAUGAUGAUGGAGAAGAGGAGAUCAUUGACUUCUAUGGUCAACUGAAAGAAAUCAUCAAGUUGCAGUAUAACUCUACCCAUGGUGUCAAUCGUUCAGUAGUCUUAUUUCGUUGUGAUUGGUUUGAUCUGGAUGCCAAAAAGACAGGACUUAAAGAUGAUGGACAUUUCAAAAGCAUCAAUAUUGGAAAAUGCUGGUAUAAAAAUGAUCCUUUUAUUCUGGCAACACAGUCAACAAAGGUCUUUUAUUUACAAGACACAAAGUAUGGUGGAGAUUGGAGAGUUGUGCAGAAAUUUCAGCAUAGACAUUUGUGGAGUGUGACUUCCUGA
RNAcentral lists this ribosomal RNA (357 nucleotides) under Triticum aestivum (bread wheat). RNAcentral's name for it is "partial small subunit ribosomal RNA". The record is from RNAcentral. Lineage: Eukaryota; Viridiplantae; Streptophyta; Magnoliopsida; Poales; Poaceae.